This 500-nucleotide ribosomal RNA is filed under the name uncultured bacterium. RNAcentral describes it as "partial 16S ribosomal RNA". It matches the Rfam family "Bacterial small subunit ribosomal RNA", at positions 30 to 523 of the family's 1533-position model. The record is from RNAcentral.
AUUGAACGCUGGCGGCAUGCCUUACACAUGCAAGUCGAACGGCAGCACGGACUUCGGUCUGGUGGCGAGUGGCGAACGGGUGAGUAAUGUAUCGGAACGUACCAUUGAGUGGGGGAUAACGUAGCGAAAGUUACGCUAAUACCGCAUAUUCUCUCCGGAGGAAAGCAGGGGACCGCAAGGCCUUGCGCUCUUUGAGCGGCCGAUAUCAGAUUAGCUAGUUGGUGGGGUAAAAGCUCACCAAGGCGACGAUCUGUAGCGGGUCUGAGAGGAUGAUCCGCCACACUGGAACUGAGACACGGUCCAGACUCCUACGGGAGGCAGCAGUGGGGAAUUUUGGACAAUGGGGGCAACCCUGAUCCAGCCAUGCCGCGUGAGUGAAGAAGGCCUUCGGGUUGUAAAGCUCUUUCGGCCGGGAAAAAAUCGCAUGGGCUAAUAUCCUGUGUGGAUGAUGGUACCGGAAUAAGAAGCACCGGCUAACUACGUGCCAGCCGCCGCCGUAA